Molecule: ribosomal RNA, 497 nt
Filed under: uncultured bacterium
Lineage: Bacteria
Description: partial 16S ribosomal RNA
Rfam family: Bacterial small subunit ribosomal RNA
Source: RNAcentral
GAUGAACGCUGGCGGCGUGCCUAAUACAUGCAAGUCGAGCGAAACGACGAGGUGUUUGCUCCUCUGACGUUAGCGGCCGACGGGUGCGUACCAUGUGGAUAACAUACCUAUAAGACUGGGAUACCUUUGGGAAACCGUAGCUACUAACGGAUAAUAUAUUGCCCCGGAUGGUUCCCUCGUAAAAGACGGUUUUGCUGUCACUUAUAGAUGGCUCCGCGCAGCAUUAGCAAGUUGGUAACGUAACGGCUUACCCAGGCAACGACGCGUAGCCGUCCUAAAAGGGAGGUCGGCCAGACUGGAACAGAGACACAGUCCAGACACCUAGGGGAGGCAGCGGCAGAGAAUCUUCCGCAAUGGGCGAGAGCCGGACGGUGCAACGCCGCGUAAGGGAUGAAGGUCUUCGGAUCGGAGAACGCUGUAAUGAGGGAAGAACAAAUGUGUAAGUAACUAGGCACGUCAUGACGGUACCUAAACAGAAAGCCACGGCUAACUACGUG